This 403-nucleotide ribosomal RNA is filed under the name uncultured bacterium. RNAcentral describes it as "bacterial SSU rRNA". It matches the Rfam family "Bacterial small subunit ribosomal RNA", at positions 355 to 775 of the family's 1533-position model. The record is from RNAcentral.
UGGGGAAUAUUGCACAAUGGGCGAAAGCCUGAUGCAGCAACGCCGCGUGAGUGAUGACGGCCUUCGGGUUGUAAAGCUCUGUCUUUGGGGACGACAAUGACGGUACCCAAGGAGGAAGCCACGGCUAACUACGUGCCAGCAGCCGCGGUAAUACGUAGGUGGCAAGCGUUGUCCGGAUUUACUGGGCGUAAAGGGUGCGUAGGCGGACCUUUAAGUGAGAUGUGAAAUCCCCGAGCUUAACUUGGGGGCUGCAUUUCAAACUGGAGGUCUAGAGUGCAGGAGAGGAGAGUGGAAUUCCUAGUGUAGCGGUGAAAUGCGUAGAGAUUAGGAAGAACACCAGUGGAGAAGGCGACUCUCUGGACUGUAACUGACGCUGAGGCACGAAAGCGUGGGGAGCAAACAG